Molecule: transfer RNA, 67 nt
Filed under: Amara aulica
Lineage: Eukaryota; Metazoa; Arthropoda; Insecta; Coleoptera; Carabidae
Description: tRNA-Arg
Source: RNAcentral
AAAUAAGAAGUAAAAUUUACAUUUAAUUUCGACUUAAAAUUUUGGUGAUCACUAUCACCCUUAUUUA